ACGGGGUGCAGCAGGCGCGAAAACUUUACAAUGCGGGAAACCGUGAUAAGGGAACACCGAGUGCCAGCAUCAUAUGCUGGCUGUCCAGAUGUGUAAACUACAUCUGUUAGCAAGGGCCGGGCAAGACCGGUGCCAGCCGCCGCGGUAACACCGGCGGCCCGAGUGGUGACCGUUAUUAUUGGGUCUAAAGGGUCCGUAGCCGGUUUGGUCAGUCCUCCGGGAAAUCUGAUAGCUCAACUAUUAGACUUUCGGGGGAUACUGCCAGGCUUGGAACCGGGAGAGGUAAGAGGUACUACAGGGGUAGGAGUGAAAUCUUAUAAUCCCUGUGAGACCACCUGUGGCGAAGGCGUCUUACCAGAACGGGUUCGACGGUGAGGGACGAAAGCUGGGGGCACGAACCGGAUUAGAUACCCGGGUAGUCCCAGCCGUAAACUAUGCUCGCUAGGUGUCAGGCAUGGCGCGACCGUGUCUGGUGCCGCAGGGAAGCCGUGAAGCGAGCCACCUGGGAAGUACGGCCGCAAGGCUGAAACUUAAAGGAAUUGGCGGGGGAGCAC
Molecule: ribosomal RNA, 554 nt
Filed under: uncultured Methanosarcina sp.
Lineage: Archaea; Methanobacteriati; Methanobacteriota; Methanomicrobia; Methanosarcinales; Methanosarcinaceae
Description: bacterial SSU rRNA
Rfam family: Archaeal small subunit ribosomal RNA
Source: RNAcentral